UGGGGAAUAUUGGACAAUGGGCGCAAGCCUGAUCCAGCCAUGCCGCGUGAGUGAUGAAGGCCCUAGGGUUGUAAAGCUCUUUCACCGGUGAAGAUAAUGACGGUAACCGGAGAAGAAGCCCCGGCUAACUUCGUGCCAGCAGCCGCGGUAAUACGAAGGGGGCUAGCGUUGUUCGGAUUUACUGGGCGUAAAGCGCACGUAGGCGGACUAUUAAGUCAGGGGUGAAAUCCCGGGGCUCAACCCCGGAACUGCCUUUGAUACUGGUAGUCUUGAGUUCGAGAGAGGUGGGUGGAAUUCCGAGUGUAGAGGUGAAAUUCGUAGAUAUUCGGAGGAACACCAGUGGCGAAGGCGGCUCACUGGCUCGAUGCUGACGCUGAGGUGCGAAAGCGUGGGGAGCAAACAGG
This 404-nucleotide ribosomal RNA is filed under the name Actinomycetes bacterium. Its description in RNAcentral is "Actinobacteria bacterium partial 16S ribosomal RNA". It matches the Rfam family "Bacterial small subunit ribosomal RNA", at positions 355 to 776 of the family's 1533-position model. Lineage: Bacteria; Bacillati; Actinomycetota; Actinomycetes. The record is from RNAcentral.